UAUAGUGACGAUGGUGACGGUAGUUCGCCGGUGGUCAGCAGCCACAUCUUUGAGUGACGACUAGGGUUCCGAAGAACGAACCGGGUGAUGUGAUGGGGUAACGACUUCAGUCAAGGUAAGGUAACGGAGGAUCGAAGGUGGUAUACGAAGUGUCAUCCGCAUUUUCCGCCUGCUCUUCUCCUCUACUCCUCCGGCAAGGGACUCCUUAUCACUUUUCGAGGUGCGGUUGCUCUAUUCCCUGCUAUUUCUCUCAACUGGUCUGAUUGCAAGGGUUUUUUCUUUUCGUAUUCUGAUUUGGUUCAGGUGCAUUGCCUCCAUUUCAGUUCAGCUAUUUGAGAAAUAGGAAAUCAUUAUCUGAGUUUUGGCGGGAUUGUCCUAUUCUGGCUGAUAAUUCAAAGGAGCAUAAUUGCAUGCCUUAUGAACAUUAUACCGCAACAUUACUUGCACAAAAAGGCCUUGAAGGAGAACCCACAAAUAGGAGUUUAACUCACACUUCAUGGGUAUCUCAUCAAGCAAAGGUCGUGAAAGGCAAGGAUGGCAUCCUAUGACGGCCAAAUCUACAAAUUUGUUGUUGCUACUCCCAUUAUUCAUUCAAUGGUCUCAUUCACACUUGAUCACAAUAAGGUGGUUCAUGACGAGUGCCCACCUACCGAAUAAAAGAAGCAAGUUAGUACACAGAGUCUUCCCUCGCCCAAUUAACCUGCUUUGCUUCGCUCGCUUCCAUUUUGUUUCUAUACUUUAUUGGUCUUAUAAUACCUUUUGUUUAUAUUCAUGGUAGUUGUUGAUAUUUUUACUUAGCGUUAAAGUUUAUGUAUAAGAAAUCUAUGAUGUUAAUAAUGGCAGACUGGUUGUAAUCUA
Long non-coding RNA from Helianthus annuus (common sunflower), 858 nucleotides. RefSeq lists it as uncharacterized. The record is from RefSeq and is a predicted model, not a curated record. The transcript is spliced from 7 exons. Lineage: Eukaryota; Viridiplantae; Streptophyta; Magnoliopsida; Asterales; Asteraceae.